AUUGAACGCUUGCGGCAUGCUUUACACAUGCAAGUCGAACGGCAGCGCGGGCUUCGGCCUGGCGGCGAGUGGCGAACGGGUGAGUAAUGCAUCGGAACGUGCCCAGUAGUGGGGGAUAGCCCGGCGAAAGCCGGAUUAAUACCGCAUACGAACUGAGGGUGAAAGCGGGGGACCGAAAGGCCUCGCGCUAUUGGAGCGGCCGAGUUCGGAUUAGCUAGUUGGUGGGGUAAAGGCUUACCAAGGCGACGAUCCGUAGCUGGUCUGAGAGGACGACCAGCCACACUGGGACUGAGACACGGCCCAGACUCCGACGGGAGGCAGCAGUGGGGAAUUUUGGACAAGGGGGGCAACCCUGAUCCAGCCAUGCCGCGUGCGGGAAGAAGGCCUUCGGGUGGUAAACCGCUUUUGUUCGGGAAGAAAUCCUCUGGGCUAAUACCCCGGGGGGAUGACGGUACCGGAAGAAUAAGCACCGGCUAACUACGU
This 483-nucleotide ribosomal RNA is filed under the name uncultured bacterium. Its description in RNAcentral is "partial 16S ribosomal RNA". It matches the Rfam family "Bacterial small subunit ribosomal RNA", at positions 29 to 506 of the family's 1533-position model. The record is from RNAcentral.